AUUUAGAUAGUUUAAAAAAAUUUUAGUUUGUGGGGCUAAGGAUAUAGAUAAAAUUCUAUUUUAAAUU
RNAcentral lists this transfer RNA (67 nucleotides) under Antodynerus aff. limbatus GX. RNAcentral's name for it is "tRNA-His". Lineage: Eukaryota; Metazoa; Arthropoda; Insecta; Hymenoptera; Vespidae. RNAcentral also lists the same sequence under 2 other names. The record is from RNAcentral.